CCUACGGGGGGUAGCAGUGGGGAAUAUUGCGCAAUGGGCGAAAGCCUGACGCAGCGACGCCGCGUGAGGGAUGAAGGUCUUCGGAUCGUAAACCUCUGUCAGCAGGGAAGAACGGUCACUGUGCUAAUCAGCAGUGAAUUGACGGUACCUGCAAAGGAAGCACCGGCUAACUCCGGGCCAGCAGCCGUGGGAAUACGGAGGGUGCGAGCGUGAAUCGGAAUUUUUGGGCGUAAAGCGCUCGUAGGCGGUAUGCAAAGUCAAGGGUGAAAUCCCCGCGCUAAACGUGGGAACUGCUUUUGAAACUGGCAAACUUGAGUGUGUGAGAGGAUAGUGGAAUGCCAGGUGUAGGAGUGAAAUCCGUAGAUAUCUGGAGGAACAUCAGUGGCGAAGGCGAUUAUCUGGCACAUAACUGACGCUGAGGAGCGAAAGCGUGGGUAGCAAACAGGAUUAGAUACCCGGGUAGUC
This 465-nucleotide ribosomal RNA is filed under the name uncultured bacterium. RNAcentral's name for it is "partial 16S ribosomal RNA". It matches the Rfam family "Bacterial small subunit ribosomal RNA", at positions 338 to 795 of the family's 1533-position model. The record is from RNAcentral.